UCAAGUUUUCUAUUGACUUUCAGGAGAUCAAGGAAUCUGUGCAAUCGGAUUUCAGACAUCAAGUUUCCCUUCUUGUACAGCCAAUGCUUCAGGCUUUAGAUGCUGCCUUUGCCCAUUAUGAUGCAGAUAUACAGAAGAGAUCUGCCAAAAGUGGGGAGAGACCAAAUGGAUUUGCUUAGGCAAAAUUUUUCUCCAUUUUCAUCCGAUAUUUAAGCUCUUUGUUUUCUGGGGGUUAUAUACACGAAUGUACAUUUAACAAAAUUUUGUUCGAGUGUGUUAUAGCAUAUUCUAUAUCUUGACAGUUCUAAUUGACUGCCUGCGGUAAUUGUACAUCUAGUGGAAUUUUGUGAAGUUACUGUAUUCAAAAUAUCCCUUUUUCUUCCUUCA
Nicotiana tabacum (common tobacco) is the source of this 387-nucleotide non-coding RNA. Lineage: Eukaryota; Viridiplantae; Streptophyta; Magnoliopsida; Solanales; Solanaceae. The record is from RefSeq and is a predicted model, not a curated record.